Molecule: ribosomal RNA, 1344 nt
Filed under: Lactiplantibacillus plantarum
Lineage: Bacteria; Bacillati; Bacillota; Bacilli; Lactobacillales; Lactobacillaceae
Description: bacterial SSU rRNA
Rfam family: Bacterial small subunit ribosomal RNA
Source: RNAcentral
UGCCUAUACAUGCAAGUCGAACGAACUCUGGUAUUGAUUGGUGCUUGCAUCAUGAUUUGCAUUUGAGUGAGUGGCGAACUGGUGAGUAACACGUGGGAAACCUGCCCAGAAGCGGGGAUAACACCUGGAAACAGAUGCUAAUACCGCAUAACAACUUGGACCGCAUGGUCCGAGUUUGAAAGAUGGCUUCGGCUAUCACUUUUGGAUGGUCCCGCGGCGUAUUAGCUAGAUGGUGGGGUAACGGCUCACCAUGGCAAUGAUACGUAGCCGACCUGAGAGGGUAAUCGGCCACAUUGGGACUGAGACACGGCCCAAACUCCUACGGGAGGCAGCAGUAGGGAAUCUUCCACAAUGGACGAAAGUCUGAUGGAGCAACGCCGCGUGAGUGAAGAAGGGUUUCGGCUCGUAAAACUCUGUUGUUAAAGAAGAACAUAUCUGAGAGUAACUGUUCAGGUAUUGACGGUAUUUAACCAGAAAGCCACGGCUAACUACGUGCCAGCAGCCGCGGUAAUACGUAGGUGGCAAGCGUUGUCCGGAUUUAUUGGGCGUAAAGCGAGCGCAGGCGGUUUUUUAAGUCUGAUGUGAAAGCCUUCGGCUCAACCGAAGAAGUGCAUCGGAAACUGGGAAACUUGAGUGCAGAAGAGGACAGUGGAACUCCAUGUGUAGCGGUGAAAUGCGUAGAUAUAUGGAAGAACACCAGUGGCGAAGGCGGCUGUCUGGUCUGUAACUGACGCUGAGGCUCGAAAGUAUGGGUAGCAAACAGGAUUAGAUACCCUGGUAGUCCAUACCGUAAACGAUGAAUGCUAAGUGUUGGAGGGUUUCCGCCCUUCAGUGCUGCAGCUAACGCAUUAAGCAUUCCGCCUGGGGAGUACGGCCGCAAGGCUGAAACUCAAAGGAAUUGACGGGGGCCCGCACAAGCGGUGGAGCAUGUGGUUUAAUUCGAAGCUACGCGAAGAACCUUACCAGGUCUUGACAUACUAUGCAAAUCUAAGAGAUUAGACGUUCCCUUCGGGGACAUGGAUACAGGUGGUGCAUGGUUGUCGUCAGCUCGUGUCGUGAGAUGUUGGGUUAAGUCCCGCAACGAGCGCAACCCUUAUUAUCAGUUGCCAGCAUUAAGUUGGGCACUCUGGUGAGACUGCCGGUGACAAACCGGAGGAAGGUGGGGAUGACGUCAAAUCAUCAUGCCCCUUAUGACCUGGGCUACACACGUGCUACAAUGGAUGGUACAACGAGUUGCGAACUCGCGAGAGUAAGCUAAUCUCUUAAAGCCAUUCUCAGUUCGGAUUGUAGGCUGCAACUCGCCUACAUGAAGUCGGAAUCGCUAGUAAUCGCGGAUCAGCAGCC